Long non-coding RNA from Mus musculus (house mouse), 10327 nucleotides. RefSeq annotates it as predicted gene, 36907. Lineage: Eukaryota; Metazoa; Chordata; Mammalia; Rodentia; Muridae. The transcript is spliced from 2 exons. The record is from RefSeq and is a predicted model, not a curated record.
GGCAUGUCCUGUGGGUGACCAAGGAGAAGGAUUAGCCCUGGGGCCCUGAUGGAGGUGACUUUACUCCUGGUAAUCCUUCUCCUAAACUGGAUGCUGACAUCUCAGAACUUUUUAAUGAUAUAUUUUAUAUUUUAAAUACUUGCUUAUUUUUAUUUAAUGUGUGUGGGUGUUUUGUCUGCACGCAUGUCCCCGGACCCUGUGUCUGGUGACCGUGGAGGCCAGAAAGGGUAUGGGAUAGUUUGAGUCACAGGUAAUUGUGAAAUCGUUUGAUCUUGGGAACCAUACUCAGGUCCUCUGCAAGGACAUCAUAUGCCAUUAACCAUGGAGAUACCUAUCUCUCAGGACUUCUUAUAAAGAAGAUACUCUGAGCACCAUAUUUGAAGCAAUUGUGGCUAUAAUCUUGGCUUAAUGCCUACUUUUAUUAGUCCCCUCCCCUUUUAGUAGAAAAGGUCCAUGUCGCCCCAGCUGAUCUAAAACACCCAAAUUUCUAGCCUCAACCUCCUGAGUACAGGGAAGAAAGGAGAGAGUCACCAAGCCAGGCUUUUACUGGCUGCCUACUAAAGUAAGUUACAAUGCCUUGCUCUCCCACAGUUUUAACAUCUCUAGUAUAUAAAAGGAUUACACAGUGCAACUCCCCAGACUUUUACUCUGUUUUUGUUAGUGGCCCAUACAUAAUAUGGGGCUGGCGAUAAAGGUGCCUGCCUCCACAACUGACAACUGAGUUUGGUCCUUGGAACCCACAGAAUUGAAGGAGAGAAAUCAACUUGCUGUUCUUUGAUUAAAACAAAUGUCUUGGUGUACCCUCCCAUAAAAAAGUAAUUUUUACAAUUAAAAAACAAAAUAAAGUUAAGAAUAACUUCACAAAUGGAAGUUUCUCUGUGCCAAGACACAAUACCACAUACUAAACAGUUAACACAAAAUGUGUAUGAACUGCUUUUUUAAAACCCUUUUGUACAAACUUGCUUAUCUUAGAGAUGAGUUCUCCUGUAGCCCAGCCUGGCCUAUAUGUAGCCAAGGAUGUCUUUGAACUUCUGACCCUCCUUUUGCUACUUCUGGAGUCCUGGGAUGUCAGGCAUGUACCACUAUGCUGAGUUUAUGCAAGUAUUCUACCAACUGAGCUACAUUUCUAACCCCAGCAUUUUUUUUUUAAUAUCACAGAAAGAAGCUAGGGCAUCUCAUAUUGAACUUCUACUCAGAAUUAAAAUUUUUGGGCUCCCUGUUUAGCUGUCAGACCCUGGCCACUGGUAGAUGAAGGGCUUUGAGUGUUAUAAAUCAGGUCUCUUUUAUCCUCCCACUCUAUUCUGAUCCACCAAAUGUGAAUAAGCUAUCUAAAGAGCUCCUGCCAUAAUGAGUUGAGUUACCGAGUCUGACAUACUUUCCUAACCAUUAUGGACCAUAUACCGUGAGCCAUGACCAAAAUUAACCUCUCCUUCCUCAAGUUGCUUUUCUUAAGUAUUGGGUCACAGUAAAGUCUGUGUGUCUGAUACAGGAGGGAAGAUGGCUUUCCUGGAUUCCCUAUUAGAUAUGGGGACUGCUUCUGUCCUGUAGUUCUUACUGCCAGAUUCCCUAUUUUUCCUUUCCCCCACAGCACUGAUCAGCUUUCUCUAUAAUCUAAAGACUCAGUUGCUCAGCAUCUUUUUCAUUGGUAUAAUAAGGGCCUCUCUUGUUAGAAUGUAAGUUCUCCAUAGGCAGGUGUCCUUAUCUAUUAUAUACAUAUCUCUACCCUUCCUCCCUCCCUCCCUCUCCCCUCUGUUCUUUCCUUUGGUUCUUCCUUUUAUCCUCUUUCUCAUUCUUCUUUGUUUUUUGUUUUUGUUUUUAUUUUGAAUUUUUUUAGUUUUUGUUUUUCUGUUUACAUACCCCUUCCUAUGUGACAACUUUGCAACCCUGACAGGGUUUAACUCACCCUGUAGCCCAGUUUACACUCCAGUAACUGCAAUCUUUGGCAGUUCUAGAUUAAGGAAAUAAAAGAUGUAUGUCUGGGUCAUGGGUCACCCUGUUUGCUUUUCUUGACUUUAUUUUCUGAGUAUUCGACUAUUGCUCUAUCUCUAUCUUUAUUUUCAUACCUCUCUCUCUCUUUCUCUGUCUCUGUCUGUCUGUCUCUCUCUUUCUUCUCCCCACCCCGAAACUCUCCACUGUUUCCCUCUGCUAUCUCACACCCUGGAAUUUCCCAGGGAGGCAGAAGAAAAAGAAGAGAAAAGAAUGGGGGAAGAGAGAUCACAGCACACAGCAAAAGGAAAGAAGGAAACUGGGUGAAAGGAGGAGAUGAGAGGAGGAAGAGGGCCCAGCAGCUGGAAGGCCCACACCCUACAGCUCUGUGGCUGACACCCACUCAGUUGGGCAAGAUAUGGUAAGGAACUCCCAACAGUGGGAGUGAAUGUCGGGGCUGGGAGAGGUGGGACUUGAGGCAAGGAGUCCCUAGGAUGGGCACAGAUCCCAGACACACAAGCAUUCUUCUCCUCUGCUCCUGACUUCCAGGAACUGGGAGGGCUUGGAUCCUAAUGCUGCCAAUGGGUCUUCCCUGAGCUAUUCCUCCCACACACAGCAAAUUCCAGGAAAUACCUAGACCUUUAAGAUUCCUUUUCUAUUGGGAAACCACCCAAUGGAAGUAGUUUGCUUCAUGUCUCUAGAAGGUAGCAAUCCCACACAGACACCCCAGUGCUUAUACUCUCCGGGGGGUUCUAUCACCUCCAUCCUUCUCACUGGAGGAAUAAAGAAAAAACAAGAGGUAAUAAAGAAGUCAGUAAACGUUUUCAUAGUUUUCUGUCCCUGCUUAAACAAGCAAAGAACUGAGGCCCAAGAAAUGUAAUACCCUAGCCAGAAAGAUGCAGCAAGGAUGUGGGCUAGUUGAGCCAGGUGACCAAAUAUGUGUUCUGAAUUAGGUCUCUUUUUAUGUUAGGAGGCUGGGACCUGUGGUGAGAGAAGAGGGGAUAGGACCUGGAUUCAUGAUCUGAGGAAGAAGGCUGGGACCUGGAUAUUUGAAUCUGAAAGAGGGAGGGCUGGGUCUGGAUCUAAAUAUGAGGGAGGAGGCUGGAGCCUGGAUACUUGAGUCUGAGAGGGCAUAGAUGGAAUCUAGAUUCUUGGGUCUGAGGGUAGAGCAUGGGUUCUAGACUCCUGGAUCUGAGGGGGAAGGGUAGGGAUAUGGACCCCUGGGUCUGAGACAAGAGGACUGUGUUCUGAAGCUUUGAAUCCAAGGGAAUAGGACUAGAGCUUGAAACUCCAUGUUUGUGGGAGAAAAACUAGGGUUUAUACUUCAGGCCUAAAGGAGGAAGGUCUUUAUACUAGAAAGUAUGGAAACCCUGGCACAUUUUUAAAAAAAUUAUUUUUACUGUUUGUUUUAAAAUUUUUGUAUGUUAAGGAUUUGUAUGCACAUGCCACAACACACAGUUGGAAGUCAGAAGACAAUUUGCAAUAGUUAUUUCUCUCUUUUCACCAUGUUGGCCCAGUGAUCCCACUGUAGGAGGCACCAUUCCCUAGGCAUAUGAUUGUGGUCUACAUAUGAAAGCUAGCUGAGUGUGAACCUGCCAGCAAGUAGAAUCCUCCAUAGUUUUUGCCAUACUUCUUUAGUUGUUAAGUGAGUUUUUCAGUUGUAGGUAAUGCUGUGUGGAAUUGCUAGGACUCUUGCCUUCAAGUUCUUGCCAUGAAUUCCCACAGGGUUUGCCUAUGACCUGGAUUUUUAAGUCAAAUACACUUUCUCCCUCAAAGUAGCUUUUGGUCAUCAUGUUUAUCACAUCAGCAGAAAUGAAAUUAGACCUGUUGCCAGUGUGUUCCUUAGGUUUCAUACUAUGGGUUUUAGACACAAACCCUGAUUAUAUCAUAAUUGCUUGCAUGCUGCUUGAAAGGCUCAUUCCCCCAAACACCUCUUUCUUUACCUAUAAAAUGAGAUUAUUUCAAGUCAUAUUUCACAGCAUAACCCUUAAGGAAGAACCUUCCCAGAACAGAGGACAUGAAGUGGCGACAUCCAUUUGUGGAAAUUGCUUUUACCUUGCUCUGACCACAAUGUCAGACAGAAAUAACUCAAGGGAAGACUUACUUUUGCUCAAGGUCUUCAAAGGCUUCAGUCCAUCACAGAGGGGAAAACAUGUCAGAGCAGUUCAGUUCAUAACAGCUCAGGGGUAAAGUGUUUGGAAAAGAGGGAAGGACAUCUAAAAUGGAGCAGGGCCUGUAUAACAUCUCCAACUGUUUGCUCUAGUAACCUAUCCACACCCACUAGGCCUAUGUUAGCUAUUUUAGGUUGAUGGAAUAUUCUGGGAAAACACAAUUUAAUGGAGGAAGAAAUUUUAUCUUGAUCAUAGUUCCAAAGUACAGUCUGUCAUAGAUGGGAUGUUAUGGUAGCAGGAGCUUGAGGUGUCAGUCGUAUUGCACUUAUAGUUAGGAGGCAAAGGGAGAUGAAUUCUGAUGUUCAGUUCAAUUUCUCAUCUGGGACCACAGCCCACAGAAUGGUGCCGUGCAAGAUGACCUAACUUCCUACCUCAACUGACCUAACCAAGAUAACUGCUAAUCUAAAUAAUCUCUUACAGGAGUGCUUGGAAGUUUAUCUCCUAAGUAAAACAUAUCCCGUGAAGUUGGCAAUCAAUACCAUCACAAUUCCUAAUCUCCUAAAAGAUGAAAACAGGUUGGCAACUUUCCAAAACAGCAGCACCAGCUAGGAGACAAGGGAAGACAUUUUAGAUUUAAACUAUAGCAUGACUGCUGAACCAGCAGUCACUGGGUAGCUGAUGGAUAUGAUGGGUUGGGAGCAGAGACAAGACUGUCUUCUUUGAGGAUGUCAGCUCUGAAAGGUCAGCCUGGUAGAAACUGGAAGAAGCUUGUGUUCCAAGUCACUGUCGAUUCCAAGACUGGUUGUCUUGGGUCAGUCUUGACUCUCAUUUUUAUCUACUUUAGACCAUGAGCUCCAGUCACUAUGUUGAUGUAUGUGGGCAGCCUAAGUUCCUGGACUGAUCAUUCUCAUUCCUAGAGUGUGGGGUAAGGAGAUUGCACUUCCCAGGACUACCAGAGGAGAUUGCUCAGUGGGAAGCUAGGAAUGUUUUGGGGGGACUAGCCAAAAAGUCUGCAACGUAGAAAAUGGACUCAUUAAGGGCUGCAUGGAAUGGGACAAAUGGAAGAUACUAGGUCAGAGGCCUUUGUGUCAAAUGCUUUAGUUACCUAUAGGGAAGUGGUCAAAGCCACUGUGAUGACAUCCCAGUGUGAGAGAGAAAAGGAAAUCGUGUUGCCAUGGUUUUUUUGGCUAGUGCUGAGGCCUUAACAUGUCACACAAAAGUAUCACUUUCCAUAUCAACAGUGUCUGAACAGCAGCAAGGGUAGGCAAAGGCUUUUUAUUCCAGCUUUCCUUGUCUGUCAGGGUCUACAAGAAAGGAACAGAGUUGCCCACAACCUCACUUGGUUAUUUCAUCAACUCCAUGCCACCACCCCCAAAAUUUAAACUGUCAUCAUAGAAGAGAUUGAGGGACAAGCCUCACAGGAAGAUCAUAUAAAUAUUCUUCCUCAGCACUGUCUACUGUUGGACUAUUCAUGUCCCAUAAAAGUCAUUUUCUCUUUCUCUAAAUGGCUCACAACCCCCACUUCCAUUUGCCAUAGGGAAGGGCCUAUACAAUUCAAAAUCUUGUUAAAUAUUCACUUUUUAUUUUCAUUAUGUGUCCUUGUGUAUUCUGGGAACAAAUGUGCUUGACUCUCCUUUUCCCCUUGCUAAUUGUUGAUUUUUUUCUGAUACUCAAAUGUCAACUUAACCUUCUGUCCCUAAUCUAUAUCUAUUUCAGCGGAUUUUCAAUCAACUACAGACUGCAAGUUGCUCCAAGCUUGUAAGUCCUAGGUGCUUCUGAUGGGAUUUCUAACAAGCCUGAAUAUCUACAUCCUAGAUGGCUCCAAAGUGGCUAGCCCCAAGUGCUUCAACCUUACAGACUGCUUCAACAUAGCCAGGAUUUCUCAAGGUUCAGGUGGUCCUGCAGAGCCUGGACAGCAAGUGAAGUAGUCUUCAUUCCUCUCUCUUUCUUCCUGGCUGUGACCACCAUUCCAGCUUUCUUGAGUCCCUAACAAAGGGGCUGUGAUCUUGGAACUUUAGAACAUUUUAUGUGCUAUAAAAUUUGGAGAUCACAUGACUAGGGAAAAUGUGUCCUGACAUAAGAUAGCACAAUCCAAUCUAUCAAUUUAUACAUGACACUGGCCCUGGUGAGAUUUCUCGUUUAGUGUCCUCCAGAAAACCCUGUGAGGUAAACAUUUAAUGCCCGUUUUGCAUAAAAAGAAACCAAGACUCUAUUAUAUUCAGUGAGAUUCAGAAGUCCAGUUCUUGGAGCUAGGAAAAGGUUGCUCAGGAAAGGGAGAGAAAAGAAAUAGGGUAAUGGAAUAAAUGACAUGAGAACAGAAAUGGGGACUAUUUGGGUGAUGAGGAUAAAACUAGAAUACCUCCUCCAAUACUGAAUUUGCAUAAGUGACAUUCUUUUUUUAUUAUUAGAUAUUUUCUUUAUUUUAUACUUCAAAUGUUAUCCCAUUUCCUGGUUUCCCCUCUGAAAACCCCAUAUCUCAACCCCACUUCCCCUGCUCACCAAACCACCCACUCCCACUUCCCUGUCCUGGCAUUCCCCUACAUUGGGGCAUCGAGCCUUCACAGGACCUAUGGCCUCUUCUCCACUACAUAUGCGGCUGGAGCCGUGUGUCACUCGCUCCAUGUGUACUCUUUGAUUGGUAGUUUAGUCCCUGGAAGCUCUGGGGGUACUGGUUAGUUCAUAUUGUUCCUCCUAUGGGGCUGCAAAUUCCUUCAGCUCCUUCAGUCCCUUAGCCUUAGUUUCCCUCCCGUGUCUCUUGGAACAACGAUUACAUCAGAGAUUGCACAAUGAGAUCCAUAUUUAAUAAGCCAGCCGAUGGGCUCCCCAAGCUAGCUGUAAGUUUCGGUGCCCAGAAUUUGAGGACAGUGGUCCAAUUUGUAGACAGAAUAAAGUUAAGGACUCUUAGAUGAGCUCAUCCUGUCUGUAGGGUUGGUCAUAAUUGCCAGUAAAGCUGAGAAAGUGACUAGAAGACAGGCUGAGCUGUGACGAAUUUGUGCGCCAAGCAUAUUCAUUUGUUACAGCUUCCAUGGUAACGAAGACUGAUGAGACAACAGAAUAUUGCUACUGCACAGUUCUGUAAGCUAUAAAUUCAAGAUCAAGGAUUCAGCAGGACUGUGAGAGAAGAUCUGUUCCAAGUCCAUAACCCCGUAACUCAGCUGCUACUGAUUUGUUGACAGUGUUUCACAAUGUUUCCUGUCUCUCUGCCUUUUUCAGUAUGUGCUGUUUUUCCUCUCUCUCUCUCUCUCUCUCUCUCUCUCUCUCUCUCUUUCUUUCUCUCUCUGUCUCUCUGUCUCUGUCUCUCUCUGUCUCUCUCUGUCUCUCUCUGUCUCUCUCUCUCUCUUUCUCUCUCUGUCUCUCUGUCUCUCUCUCUCUGUCUCUGUCUCUCUCUGUCUCUGUCUUUCUCUGUCUCUUUCUCUGUCUGUCUCUGUCUCUCUCUCUCUCUCUCUCUCUCUCUCUCUCUCUGUGUGUGUCUGUGUGUCUGUGUGUCUGUGUGUCCAGAUUUCCCUUUACACAAAGAUUCCAGUCACACUGGAUUAUAGCUCUACCCUGGUCUGAUAUGAAUAACUUAAAUAAUUAUAUUUUCAACAACCCAGUAUGUAAACAGGUGACAUUCUCACGCAUUUUGGAGAUAUGUUGGUGAUGCCAAGAAGUUUCAUGCAGCUGGGAGAGGGGUGUGGCUGGAGUAACGGAGGGAUGAGGAGGAAGGGAGAAAGGGAAUUUCUUAGAAAAGUUAUGAAGUUUCUCUUUUCCCUUUUCUUCUCUUUUCCCUUUUCUUCUCUUCCCCUUCCCUCCAUCCCAAUCUUCUCUUCUUCUCCUUUUCUUUCUUCCUUCAUUUGAGACAGUGUCUUAUGCAGAUCAGGCUGGCCUAGCACUUUCUAAGAAGCUGAAGAUGAUCUUGAACUAAUUUUCUUACCUCUGUGCCUGAGUGCUGGGACUUCAGGCAUACCUCACUAUGUCUGGUUUAUUUGGUGCUGGGGAUAGAACUCAGAGGUUUUUAGAUGCUAAGUAAGCACUCCACCAACUUAAUAUUAUCUGUAGAUUCAACAGUAAGUUUUCUAAUCCAUUUCCAACAAUUAUGUUACAAUAUCAAACAACAAAUAAAACAUAGCACAGGGCAGGAGAAAUGGCUCAGCCAUUAAGAGCACUGGUUACUCUGCCAAAAAUUCUGGGUUUGAUUUUCAGUAGCAUGGCCACUCACAAUCAGCUGUAAGUCUAGAUCCAGGGAAUUGUAUGCCAUUUUCUGACCUCUGUGGGUACCAGGCAUGCACUUAGUGCACAGAUGUAUGUGCAGAAAAUACUCAUAUACAUACAAUAAAAUAGAUCUUUAAAAAUAAGGAGAAAGAAAAGUGACUCCACAUUCCCCUAUAGCCGUCUACUGCCAAUAGCUUCUCUGCCUUGGUGUGGCCUCAGGAGCCUAUUCCUAAUCUACACUGGAAUUUUUAGUUGGCUUGAUUUUCUGCAGAUCUUCUAUAUGUAAGCAUGGCUGUUUCCUGUGAGUUCUUACGGGCAGCAACCAUAGCACAUCCAGAAGGUCAUAUUUCAUAGCAUUUCUCCUUUUCCAGCUCUAACAUUCUUUUUGCCCCUGCUCUUCCACAAUGUUCACUGAGCCUGAAGGGUUUGGUAUAGAUGUCUUGCGUCUGCUUUAUUUCACUUAUCUCAUUGAACAGUAUAUUAAUAAUAGGUACAACAUUGUUAUGCAUACUGUACUUCAAAAGUUUUACUAAUGUUGGAAGGAAAAAUUGGAGGCAGAGAGGAGAACCAUAAAAUUCUUGAAAUCAGAGCAACGAUGUCAUUCCAGCCUGGUCUAACUAUCACAAAUACCUGAUUUGGGAGGGAACCCUGUUUAUGUGGAAGAAAAAGAAAUUGGGGAACUUUUCAUUUCUGAUUUCCGGAAACCAACGCCUCUGCCUAUUAUGUGGUAUGGAAGGUAAGCAGGCCACCCACUUCCAAUGGAAAUAAUAGGGCAAUAGAUGAAUUUGUCAGAGAUUACAUCUCUACCCUAGAUGCUGUUCUGAUCCCUCAAUUCCCUGACACAGAAAUGCUUUGUGUUCAGAGACUCCUGUCCUUAGAGUUGGUGGCUUCCCAGCCUCCCUUCUGUGCCUCUAGAUUUUCAGAUGAAGGAGGGGGUAGGAAAAGAUUGGAAAUUAUAUUAAUAACUAUUUAUUUAUUUGCUUAUUUAUGUUUUGAGAGUUCAUAGUGUUAAACAAUGUGUCCACACGGUGACACAGAGGACAACUUAAAGAAAUUAGUUCUUUUCUUUCAGGAAUUCUUGGAAUAGAACUCAGGUCACUGGACUUGGUAACAAGAGUGUUUACCUGGUAAAGCAUCUUGGGUCCCAGAAAUGAAUUUUCUCUGGUUUUCCUGUUUCACCCUGCUCAGCUGCUAAACACUUUAAAAGUCAUCUUUCAUUUCUUACAUGCCAGGAAAUACUCUCUUCCUCUCUUUGGUUAUUUCUCUUUUUUCUCCCUCCCCCAUCCUCUCUUCAUCUUUGUCCUGUCUGUCCCUCCUUUCUCUUUAUUUUCAGUAAAAAAAAAUGUAGUAUAAUAUAUGCAGAAAAUAUUGUACAGACCAUUUCUUGAUAAAUCUUCCCAUGGUUAAUGUGUCUGUGUUAAUAGGUCUAUGUAACCAACACUGAAUAAGGAAAGAAAGCAUUCUUGAGCCCUCUCUCAAUCUGCACUGUAAGUGUAAGCAUUGUCAUAUAUAUACUUGACAUAUUAGGUGCCUGAGGAUUCUUAGGCUACAGGCUAUGAAAUUCUAGCCAGCCUGGGUUUAGCAACAGUUGAGUUCAAGGCUAUCCUGAGCAAUUUAGUGAGAUCCUACCUGAAAAAAAUAUUAAAAAGCAAUGGAGCCUGGUGUGGUGGUACACACCUUUAAACCAAGCACUUAGCUGGUAAAGGCAAGAGGAUCUCUGAGUUCAAGGAUAGCUUGGUCUACAUAGUGAUUGCCAAGACAGCUGGCACUACAUACAGAGACCCUGUCACUAAAGACCAGUUAAUCAGUUAUUUGCAAAGUGGAGAUAUAAGAAGUGAUGCAAAAUUGUAACUCACCAGCAGAAAAAAAAUGCCUAGAUUUACUGAGUAAAGGGCUGGGCAUGACUCAAAGGUAGAGCUCCUACCUAGAAUCUUCCAGUGAGGAGCUAAGGUAGCUUGGGGGUAGAACUUCUGCCUAGAAUCCACAGUGAGGGUCUGGGGAUCUGGUUCAUUCUAAGAAGUAGGGCAUUUGUUCAUCAUGUAUAUGGGCUUGGUUUCUGUUCUCUAUAUUGUCACCACCGCAAAACAAUAAGGAGAAAA